Molecule: ribosomal RNA, 226 nt
Filed under: uncultured bacterium
Lineage: Bacteria
Description: partial 16S ribosomal RNA
Rfam family: Bacterial small subunit ribosomal RNA
Source: RNAcentral
CCCUUUGGUUGGGGAUAACACUUCUAACGGAGUGCUAAUACCGAAUGAGAUCAUUUCAUCGCAUGGUGAUUUGAUGAAAGGCGGCCUCUUCUUGAAAGCUGUCACCGAAGGAUGGUCCCGCGUUCCAUUAGCUUGUUGGUGAGGUAACGGCUCACCAAGGCUACGAUGGAUAGCCGGCCUUAGCGGGUGACCGGCCACACUGGGACUGAGAUACGGCCCAGACUCC